Molecule: ribosomal RNA, 253 nt
Filed under: uncultured bacterium
Lineage: Bacteria
Description: partial 16S ribosomal RNA
Rfam family: Bacterial small subunit ribosomal RNA
Source: RNAcentral
UACGGAGGGGGCAAGCGUUGUCCGGAAUUAUUGGGCGUAAAGCGCGCGCAGGCGGUCCUUUAAGUCUGAUGUGAAAGCCCACGGCUCAACCGUGGAGGGUCAUUGGAAACUGUGGGACUUGAGUGCAGAAGAGGAAAGUGGAAUUCCUCGUGUAGCGGUGAAAUGCGUAGAGAUGUGGAGGAACACCAGUGGCGAAGGCGACUUUCUGGUCUGUAACUGACGCUGAGGCGCGAAAGCGUGGGGAGCAAACAGG